AACUAACAAAGUUAAUGAAUUGAAGAUAAGCAUGGUUGUAGAAGGCAAAAGAACUCAAGCAAUUUUUGAUGAUGUGUUUUCUUCGAUGGUUGCUGACGCUUAGCCAAUUCCAGGGUUUCGAAAAGUCAAAGGAGGAAAGACACCGAAUAUACCCAAAAACAUUCUUUUGGAAAUUCUUGGGCCAUCAAAAGUUUACAAACAAGUCAUUAAAAGAAUAAUAAGCUCUACCAUCUCUGAUUAUGUGCAGAAGGUAGAUCCAAUAGGU
Molecule: non-coding RNA, 265 nt
Organism: Coffea arabica (coffee)
Lineage: Eukaryota; Viridiplantae; Streptophyta; Magnoliopsida; Gentianales; Rubiaceae
Source: RefSeq, a predicted model, not a curated record